Molecule: long non-coding RNA, 20989 nt
Filed under: Homo sapiens (human)
Lineage: Eukaryota; Metazoa; Chordata; Mammalia; Primates; Hominidae
Description: non-protein coding lnc-ANXA2R-1:5
Source: RNAcentral
GCAGUGGAAGACGGUUGGCGACCCGGAUGGCUUUUGUUACCAGGGCCAGCCCAAUCCGCCCGAUUCUCGGUCCCUAUACUGCCUCCUUUUCCCAUGCGCAUCGCAAGGGAUCGGUUGAUGGGGCCCUCAGUAUGACUUCGCUAGGAAAAAUAAAGUGCAGCUCGUUUCUCAGAGCCGGCGGAUGUUCAUGGGCAGCACCAUCGAGCCAGAAGCAGUAUUUGUCCUGGAGGAAAUCAGUGGUGCUUCAGGAUAUUGUGAAUUUGGUCUUCUGAAAGCAGAAUUCUGAUUUAACAGUAUAAUGGAAUUCGUGAACGUCAUGAUGCUAAUUUGAACCAACAAGCACCCUUGUGAGAGGAAUCUGCUUUUCCUCAAGUCUGAAGAACACCAGGAGAAUCUUUCUGUAUGGAGUUACCAGGAAUCCUCUGCUAAGGAAAGUGAAAGGGAAGAUGCAAUUUCUCCUGGGAAGGGGGGAUGCUGAUGUAGAGGGUGACAAGUAAUAUGCCAUGAAGGAUUCAGUCACCUGGUUAGAUUUAGAGUUAGAGUUAUGGUUAAGGAAGAAGGAAGGAAAAAAGGCAGAAGAGGAAGAAAGGAAGCAAGAAAAGAUAAAAUUUAUUCUAAGAUAAAAUUUGUGAAUUUUGCUAAACUAUAUAUAUUUAUUUAUUUAUUUAUUUUAUUUAUUUAUUUAUUUUUGCUGUCAUUAGCCAAGAUAAGGAAUCUUCAAGUUGAGUAAGACUGGAUUUAGAAUUGUCUGGGGGCUUUCAAAAGAGCCAUUCAGUAAAUAAGAAAGAAUACAGGCCUGCAGCACCAGAGUCUGAGCUGGGGGCAUAGGUUUGUGUGAAUUUGGGCAUGGUGGCUCAGGUCUGUAAUCCCAGCACUUUGGGAGGCUGAAGUUGAGGACUGCUUGAGCUCAGGAGUCUGAGACCACCCUGGGCAACAUGGGGAGACCCCAUCUCUACAAAAAAAUAAAAAAUAUUAACCCAAGGUGGUGGCAUGCACCUUGCUGCCAGCUACUGUGGAGGCUGAGGUGAGAGGAUUGUUUAAGUCCAGGAUGUUGAGACUGCAGUGAGCCCUGUUUGUGGCACUGCACUCCUGCCUGGUCCACAGAGGGAGACUCUGUCUGAAGGUGGGGAAAGAAAAGAUUUGUAUGAAUUUGGUGCUGCUUUGUAUUUCAAAAUAGGAAAGUGGAUAUACGAAUAUAUGGCAUAAAAGGUCCAGAUACUGGACCCCAGUGAACUCAAUUGUUUUCAAGGUCUGACUUUAACCUUGCUAGGCUGAAGAAUCUGGAAUGGCUCAGAUGUUUCUAGUUCAGCUGUAACUUUUGCCUCCUUUAGAGUAAAGCUGUGGGGGACUUGAGUAUACUCAGAGUGGAUCUGAGAGGUAUCUGCUUCCAGAAUGAAUUAGAAUUCCUGGAUUUGAAUCAUAAUCAGAUGGCUGUUAAGGGGUUAUUGAAGACAUAUGGCUCUUAAGUUCACAAUAUUGAAUUCAGGUGAAUAUUAUAAAUAUUUGUAAGUUGGAUUAUAUUAUUGAAGCACUUGGUAAAAAUUGCCAUGCAGGGAUAAAUGUAGGAAGGGGAUUGCAGAGUCUGAUAUCUAAAAAAUAAGUGGAGCAGCAUUUGGAAACCCCGUUCACAUUUUCAAUCUCUUUUCUCUCAUUAGAACCUAACUGCUAUCCUCUAAUCCCUACUUUUGAAAAAAUGUAUUUAAGGCUGGGCGUGGUGGCUCACGCCUGUAAUCCCAGCACUUUGGAAGGCCGAAGUGGGUGGAUCACGAGGUCAGGAGAUCGAGACCAUCCUGGCUAACAUGGUGAAACCCCAUCUCUACUAAAAAUACAAAAAAUUAGCCGGGCGUUGUGGUGGGCACCUGUAGUCCUAGCUACUCGGGAGGCUGAGGCAGGAGAAUGGCGUGAACCCAGGAGGCAGAGCUUGUAGUGAGCUGAGAUCGCGCCACUGCACUCCAGCCUGGGCGACAGAGCGAGACUCCGUCUCAGAAAAAAAAAAAAAGAAAAAAUGUAUUUAAAAACUCAGCAAACAUUAAUGGAGAUAUUCCAAGAGCCAGGCUCCUGGUUCCAAGACCCCACUCAGAGGACUAAGCUCAAAUCUAAUAAGAUGUGUAGGCUUGGGGCCAGUGGGGCGAGGGGAUAUCCACAGGAGGGCCAAUCGAACAAGGCCUCAGACUCAUGAGCCUCAAAUGUAGAUGUUAGAUUUUUCCUCCAAUUGAGAUUAUACAUACAGCCACAGAGCUUCAUGGAUGCAAAUGAAAAUGGUCAUGUCUCAACUUUUAAACUGUGCUCAAUUAGAGGAACUCAUUGCCUAUGGCAUAGUGUCAUGUAAUAAAAUGGUUUUUUUGUUGUCUAAUCUUGUAGUUAGUACAGUGAUAGUACAUUGGGUUUUUGUGUUAAAAGAAGUCAUUUGUUAUCCCAGCACUUUGGGAGGCCGAGGCAGGCAGAUCACCUGAGGUCAGGAGUUCAAGACCAGCCUGACCAACAUGAUGAGACCCCAUCUCUACUGAAUUAGCCAGGCAUGGUGGCGCAUGCCUGUAAUCCCAGUUACUCGGGAGGCUCAGGCAGGAGAAUCGCUUGAAUCGGGAGGCAGCGAUUGCCGUGAGCCAAAAUUGCGCCACUGCAGUCCAGCUUGGGCAACAAGAGCAAAACUCUGUCUCAAAAAAAAAAAAAAAAAAAAAAGGCUGGGCGCGGUGGCUCACGCCUGUAAUCCCAGCACUUUGGGAGGCCGAGGCGAGCAGAUCACAAGGUCAGGAGAUCGAGACCAUCCUGGCCAACACGGUGAAACCCCAUCUCUAUUAAAAAUGCAAAAAAAUUAGCCGGGCAUGUUGGCGGGCGCCUGUAGUCCCAGCUACUUGGGAGGCUGAGGCAGGAGAAAGGUGUGAACCUGGGAGGCGGAGGUUGCAGUGAGCUGAGAUCCCGCCACUGCACCCCAGCCUGGGCAACAGAGCAAGACUCCAUCUCCCCCACCCAAAAAAACAUCUUUAAAAUUUAGCUUUUAAAACACAUUUAGUUAUUAUUUUACUGUGUUUAUUCUUCGUGGUUAGGCACAUUUAUGCCUUUUUGUUUCCUCCCUUGAGUUGUGGGCCUGGACUCCUAAAACCUCCAUUUCUAAAUUUGCCUUACCAACAGGGUCACAAUGGUAGGCAGGCUUAGUGGGACAUGAGGCAAUAAAAAGAUGAACAGUCAUUCUGGUUAUGGCUUGGCAGUGGGAUGGCAGCACAUUAGCUUGGCUCUCACGGUGUGGGCUGCUUUGGUUUCUUUUCCUAACUGAACUCUGACAGGUAGAGUCCUCAUGUCCAGGAAUAAUUCCAGAAAACAAUAAAAAAAAAAAAUUGGUUUUCAGACCAGGACACAAACAUAACCAUAGUAGAUGAGGGCUCACUCAUUUACUAAACUUGAAUGUGGUUAUUACUUCAUUGCUAUUGUAAACCAAAAAUAAAAUUUGAAGCCCCCUGCCACCAACAUCUGAAUGGACCCCUCUUCUCCGCCAAGGGCAUUCCAAAGUUAGACUGAAAAAGUAGUUUCAAGCCAUGCUGGGAAGGGGGAGUCAGACAUGCCUCAUUAUAUUCUCCUCUCUUUUAAAAUUAUUGAUAGAACAGACUCUUUAAGUCUGGUUAGAAACAUUUACAAUCUAUCUCUCUGAAGUCUUCCACCUGGAGGCUUCAUCUGCGACACCUUUGUCUCUGGAACACCUUAUGGCAACCCAGGCAUUCCUUUCUAGAGAUAAUAGUUAUUGCAACAAAUUGCCAAUCAUAAAAUUUUUGAACCUCUCCAACUUGAAAGAUCAUGCUUCCAGUUGUACUGCCUUUCUGGACUGAACCAAUGUACAACACCUUAAAUGUAUUGAUCUCAUGACUUCCUAAAAUAUAUAUAAACCAAGUUGUGCACUGACCACCUGAAGCACAUGUUCUCAGGAUCUCCUGAUGGCUGUUUCAUGGGCUAAUGGUCACUCACAUUUGGUUCACAAUAAAUCUCAUCAACUAUUUUACAGAAUUUGACCCUGUGUCUGCUGGACCUCCCAGAAGAGCAGCAGCACAUGUGCUGAUUUCUUUGGGUUUCAAAAUUGACAACAGUCAAUGGAAAACUGGAUUCCAAAUUCUACCAGAGAAUACUGUGCCAGGUGCUUUCAGUGGGACCCUUGCUGUCUCUGGGAUUUCAAGUGCUAUUACAAUGGUCUCCCCCAGGGCACAUUAAAGGACUGGUGAGAUCCCUAACUGGCAUGGCUCCAGAAGUGAUGUGGAAGUUAGGAAACUCAGGCAGUCAUUGAUUUCCCAGCCCCACUGACGCUUUUCCUCUAUCUCCUGGCUGAGAAAAGAAGACCAGGAAGAGCCGUGAGGGACUUCCAGGGUGGCAUGUGGCUGUCUCCAGCACACGUACAUAACCUGGAUUAUAUCUGUAACAAGCUAUGCUGAUGGAUCAGCAGGUUAACCCAAGCUGAAAAAAGCAGUCAAGCACUUCCUUUGGUGUGUGAGGCAGAAACCAGGACAUCUGCUGGUCCACCAGGGGACAAAAAUCAAUCCUAUUUCACCAAUGUGUCUCCUCCGUGUGGGGAGUAUAGGGCAUUGAAGGUGGAUGAGAAUCACCAUCCACCUUCUGCUGCACAGGAAAGACAAGGGAAGACUCCAGGGAAGACAGAGGAGGAAAACGUCGAGCAGCCCCAGGUGGAUGUGUCUGUGUGUGUGUGUGUGUGUGUGUGUGUGUGUGUGUGUGUACCUUGACAGUGGGUAGAGGAAGGGAGAGGAGGGUUGAGGUCUUCCCACUAGAGGAGUGAAAUGAGCAGAACUGAGAAAAGAGGUCAGAGAAAAGAAAGAGGAACCUACAAGCCACCACAGAAUUUUCUUUCCCCAGAGAAUGGUCUCUUGCCCGACUAGGGGCUGGGUAUCCUUGUGAAGUCACCGGAGGUUUUCAAGGGGUGGGCUUCCUGGCUUCAGUAGACUCAAGGUCCCUAAGGUCCAGUUAGGAUAGGCGCCUGGGAGGGCUCCCGAGUUGGAAUAAGAGUCGGAAGAACUGACAGGGCUGGGGGCGCACUAAGCACACUCUACUCCUGAGAGGUGAGGGUGGGGAUGUUGGAGGGAAAAAGGGCUGCUUUUUCCUGCCUGCAGGCUUCAGAUUCACAGGGGAUGUGAGGAGAGGGCGGAGGAGGAGGAAGCAGCGGCUGUUUAUGCUGGGAAGAUGGCUCAGUUGAGAAGUGAGGCAGAUGUGGCCUCAGAGGGUCUGGCGGAUGGCUGCCGGGAUCACCGGGGGCUGGACUUUGAGAUGUCCAGGACGAAGUGUUGCCCUUUCAGUGCUGCCCUCCCUGUGUCUGCUGGAACUGUUGGAGCCGCAGUGCAGCCUAAUUUUGACUUCAGGUAAAAUAAUUCAAUAUACUGAGGCCCAGGGGGAACAAAGCAAGGUCUACUCCAUAUCUCUGAACAGCUGGUGUCUUUCAGUGCCUAAACUCAAUCAGAAUCCUGGGAGCAAAAGUAGCUCUCCAGUGCAGUCCAUGCAGGUUACUUCUUGCAACAUAGAGGUGACUGAAGCAUGGUAAGCAGAUCUAGAAAGGCAAACAUCUCUAGCAGAUCUAGAGAGGCUAGCCAAUGUUAGCUAGCAGUGUCUUUAUGUUGAUAAACCUAUUCAGAAUGUUAACUUUGUUUGUUGGUUUGUUUGUCCAUUUUUGUCUCCCAGGCUGGAGUGCAGUGGUGCGAUCUCGGCUCACUGCAACCUCCAGUAAUUCUCCCGCCUCAGUCUUUCCAGCAGCUGGGAUUACAGGCUCCCCAUCGCCACACCCAGAAUUUUUUGUAGAGACGGGGUUUCGCCAUGUUGCCCGGGCUGCUCUCAAACUCCCGAUUUCUUAGUCUGACCAAGUCAGGGUUUAGCUAUUUCUUAGCGUAGCAAGUUGAGAUUUAUUCCAGUUUCGAUUUCUAGUUGUAACAAUGCUGGCUUUAACCGUGCCUACGUAGUCGUUGCAAGUUCCUGUUUUGUAAUAGGAACCCCCAUUAUAGCCGUUCGUACGGUUUUUAAGUCUUGUAGAAAUCUGGGUACUGGAGAAUGUAAUUAAAAAAAAAAUUUAGCAGUGCCUGAAAUCUUUUAGUCAUACCAAGUGUGAUUUCACAAUAGAGAUUCUCGCCCUGGCUGUGCUUGUGAUUUUUCACUCAUGCAGAAGUUGAGGUGUCUAGGCUACAGGAACUUUUUGGUGUCGCAAAUACCGGUUUAGCCAUGGCUGUUUCUUCUUAAUCCGAGGAAUUUUCGAAUAGGCGCAAGAGGCACAGGUUUAGUGCUAAUACAAAUAUAGCCGUAGGAUCGCAUCGUUCAACACUGCAAUUUCUUUGUAGGGUUAUUUGUAUGUUUUGUAUACUCAAAAAAAUUUUUUUUGAUGUGUCUUUUUCUGGGAGCGAGGUUACUGGUGUAUUUUAUUUUCAUUUCUGUUUGCUUUAAAAAUUUAUUUUAUUUUUUAUGUAAAUGUUAUGUAUUUUAUUUUUUCUUACCCACUGCCUUCCCCAGGAGAGUAAAUGUGGCAUAAUUUCUUCUACUGAUUUUGAGUAUCAUGUCUCAGCUUCCUACUAACUAGCUUUCUCCCGUGAGUCGGGGAGCAGAGCUGGUGCCUGGUCUCUAGGGUUCUCUUCCGCGGCUCUGUGCCUAUGUCGAGCCAGCAGUUUCGCAUCAGCACUUUCGCCAAUAGCGGAGACUCAGUGUUUUCUCGGCUGCUGCACCGCUGGAAGCGCUGAACACAACAGAACGUUUCGGCGGGGCGCUGUGGCUCACGCCUGUAAUCCUAGCACUUAGGGAGGCUGAGGCGGGUGGAUCACUCGAGGUCAGAAGUUCGAGACCAGCCUGGCCAGCGGGUGAAACCCCGUCUGUACUAAAAAUACAAUAAUUAGCUGGCCGUGGUGGCGCGUGCCUGCAAUCCCAGUUACUCGGGAGGCUGAGGCAGUAUGCUUGAACCCAGGUGGCGGAGGUUGCAAUGAGACGAGAUUGCGCCACUGAACUCCAGCCUGGGUGACAGAGCGAGGCUCCUUCUCAAAAACAAAACAACCCAGAACGUUUCUUGUUCACAAGACUCAGAAGUGCUUUGUGGUAACGCUUCCCCUCUCCUAGCGCCGCCACUUUCCCCGGGCUGGCUGUCUCACGGUCUCAGCCCAGUGAUUGGCCGAGGAGGCGCUCUUUCAGCACUUUCGCUGGAAGGGCUUGGGCUCGGUUUUUCUGCCACAGGCGUUUCAUUGGGUAGGUGCUUUCUCGGUGGAAGCACUGUACAACCUUCCAAGCCUCGAUAUUUCUCAGAGACGACGAUUUCUUAGUGGCAAUACCUUAACUGCACCAAAAACUAAAGUUUGCCGCUGGGUACUCCGCUAGUCGUUCAGUGUCCGCAUUUGCUAUUGAUGCAGGAUUUUUGCUUCUAAGCUCAGCUAUAUCCGGGUCCUUGUCUCACGAUCAGGAGGAAGUGGGCACGCGGAUAUCGAAGAGUGAGUGGAGUAGAAUUUAUUAAGCGUAAACGAAAGCUCUCAUAAAAAACAAGGGUCCUGAAAGCAGGUUGCCGGUUGCUCCUUAACGGCUGAAUACAAAGGCUUUUAUAUGAAAGCUAAGGAGGCUGGGUUCCCUGUUUGUAUAAGGCGAGAAUCCCGGGUGGCUCCAUCCCAUUCCCCCAGUGCGCAUGCGCGCUCUUAAUCCGCAGCAGGCAUGCUUAGGCAAGUCCCUUGUGCAAGUUCCCUUAUCUGCACAAAACACCAGUCGGAGGUUCUCUGGGGACCCUUCCCUUACAGUCUCCCUAAAGCUGGCUAACUCCUUUCACUAUGUCCCAGUAUCCCUGGUUCCUCGGACUGGCACUUUCUGAGUCAUAGCACCGCUCAUUCGUCCGAGCAGAAUUGAUCUCGGUGGCAGCACCUCUGGUGGGUCAAGCCUGCAGCUUCUCCUGAGCAGUUUCGUUAGUUUUUGGGUCCUAGAACCGCUAGUGGUACCAUAGCGGCUCUUCAUGGGUUGCAGGACGUUUGCCAACUCCACCCCACGCUGCCUGCCUAGGUUCGGCUACGGGGCAAAAAGAACAGACUCCUGCAAAGGAAGAACCCCGAGGGUUGGAUAUUUAGGAAAGACGUCCUUUGCAGUGCCACGUCCGCGGAUGCUGCACUUGGCUUUCUCCUCCCUCCUGGGGAAGAAUUGAUGUUUACUUCUCCCCACUCUCCGGGCCGCAUUAUCCAGGGAUUUCGGGGACUAGAUUACCUGAGAUUUUAGCGCUUCUACUGGAUCAUCCUUUUGGAAAUAAUUAUCACUUACAAUAAUGUCUAUCCGGGCCGGGUGCGGUGGCUCACACCUGUAAUCCCAGCACUUUGGAAGGCCGAGGAGGGUGGAUCACGAGGUCAGGAGAUCGAGACCACCCUGGCCAACAUGGUGAAACCUCGUCUCUACUAACAGUACAAAAAUUAGCCGGGCGUGGUGGCGCGCGCCUGUAGUCCGAGCUACUUGGGAGGUUAAGGCAGGAGAAUAGCUUGAACCGGGAGGACUGCAGUGAGCCGAGAUCCUGCCACUGCACUCCAGCCUGGCAACAGAGCAAGACUCCGUCUCAAUAAUAAUAAUAAUAAUAAUGUCUAUCCAUGUUCUUUAAAAAAGUUUGCCUUCACUAUUCUUUAUCAACGUUUGGUUGUCUUUCUCAAUAAAAUAAUAGAGAAACAUCAAAUGCCUUUUGUUUCUUUUGUUUUGUUUGGUUGUUGUUGUUUUAGGAUCAAGACCAAGUCAGAGGUCUGUUGCUGGGUAAGGAGUGCAGCAAAUCCAGGCGACCCAGGUUUCCCUGCCAGUCCUGGCAACAGCAACCAGACACCCCACCCCUGAGCCUCAUCCUUACUCAACGUCAUCAGCAGGAACUCAGGUAACAGGAAUUUCACAUUUGUGUACAAUUUUAUUGAGAAGAGGAAGGAAAAAAGGCAUAAAGUGAUCUGAAGGCGAAACUUCUUCCAUCGCAUUUGAGAGAACUCAGGUAUUAUUGUAACUUUAUUUAUUUAUUUAUUUAUUUACAAGAGGAUCAUCCAAUGGAAGGUCUCAGAGGAAGUUUCAGGGCCCAGGAUUCCAAAGGCGGGCCGUGGACACAGUCUCAGGGCGUCUGUCCCCAAGCGCAUGCCAUCUGCAGCCAGCAGUCUUGGAACUUUGGUUGGUGGCACCAGGGGACAGCAGUAGGCUGACACUCUCAAAGGUCUUCUCGGAUGGAAGUCUCCGGCUCCAGUCGUCUGUCCACUAAGCGAGAGGCGAGUUGCGAGGGAGGCUGCGGGGGCGGGCGGGCGUAUGUUGAGACCCUAUGCAGCCUCCUGCUCUCCCGAGGGCUCCUGCGGCUCCUCCUGAAUUGCCUGCGCCGGAUCCAGAGCAGGCGACUCUGCGCCCCGCCUCCAGGUACUCUGAGGCUUGGGAAAGAGAUCUUUUCGCCGGCAGUUUCAGCAAGGAAGCACGCAGGGAGCGGAAAGUAUGUGGCAGUGGAAAUCUAGGUCGGCCCAGGAGAGCUCGCAGUGGGUUUUUGCUGCAGCUCAGGUGGGAAUGCAGUGUCAUGCUCUUGGCAACCUGGACCUCCCAGGCUCAAGGGAUCCUCUCCGUCAGCCUCCAGAGUAGCUGGUGAUCCUCCCCCCUCAGCCUACAGAGUAGCUGGGAAUACAAGUAUGUGCCACCAUACCUGGCUAAUUUUUCUUGUAUUUUUUGUAAAGAUGGGUUUUCACCAUGCUGCUAGCUUGGUGGUUGCCUCAGCCUCCUGAGUGGCUGGGACUACAGACAGCUGGGACUGCAGGCAGGAAUCACCACAUCCAGCUAAUAAUUUUUUUUUUUUUUGGUAGAAAUUGUGUUUCACUGUGUUAUCUGGUUUGGUCUUGGACUUCUGGCCUUAAGUGAUCCUCCUCCCUCAGCCUCUCAAAGUGCUUGGAUUACAGAUGUUAGCCACCAUGCCUAGCCCAUAAUAAAGUUGUUCUAGUCUUAGAUUCUUCUCUCAUGAUGGUAAUUCCACCUUCAGUUUUUGGGGUUUUUUUUUUUCGUUUUUUUUUCUUUUUUUUACAACAUCUUGCUCUGUUUCCCAGGCAGAAGUGCAGGGGCAGGAUCCCAGCUCACUGCAAACUCUGCCCCCUGGGUUUAAAUGAUUCUACCACCUUAGCCUUCCGAGUAUCUGAGAUUACAGUUUCAUGCCACCAUGUCUGGCUAAUGUUUGUAGUUUUAGUAGAGAGGGGGUUUUACUAUGUUGGCCAGGCUGGUCUCAAACUCGUGGCCUCAAGUGAUCCUCCUGCCUCAGCCUUCCAAAGUGCUAGGAUUACAGAUGUGGGCCACUGCACCUGGCCCAGAUUUUUUUUUUCGCUUUGUUCAUUGCAUUAUUCAUAUCGAAGUGGAAAAUCGCGGAUAAUUCUAGUCUUACUAUACUACCUAAUAUAGCAUCCUACUAUACACUUAUGUUAAGUUUCUUGAUAGCAUUUAUCACGGCCGAGCGCAGUGGCUCAUGCCUGUAAUCCUAGCACUUUGGGAGGCCGAGGUGGGUGGAUCACCUGAGGUAAGGAGUUCAAGACCAGCCUAGCCAACACGGCUAAACCCUGUCUCUACUAAAAAUACAAAAAUUAACCAGGCAUGUUGAGCGCCUGUAGUUCCAGCUACUCGGAAGGCUGGGGCGGGAGGAUUGCUUGAACCCAGGUGGCAGAGGUUGUAGUGAGCCGAGAUCAUGCCACUGCACUCCAGCAGUGGAAACAGAGUGAGACUGUCUUAAAAACAAACAAACAAAACAACAACAACAGCAACAAAAAGCAUUUAUUAUAUAAAUACUGUCUUAUUUAUUUAUUUGUUUUCCUGUUUACUGUCUUUUUUCAACUCAUGAAGGUGUCAAACACUUUGUGGCCAAGUCCAUGUCUACUUGUUGAUCACUUAUUUCUGGGACCUUGAUCCCUUUGUAGUACAAUAUAGAUGCUUAGCAUUUGUUAAUGAAGAAACAAUAAAUGUAUUAAAAGACUGGGUGUGGUGGCUCAUUCCAGAAAUCCCAGCACAUUGGGAGGCUGAGAUGAGAGGAUUGCUUGAGCCCAGGAGUUUGAGCCGAGUCUGGGUAACAUAGGGAGACUCUACCUCUACAAAAAAUUUAAAAAUUAGCUGGGUGCCUGGUGUGCCUCUGUAGUCUCAGCUACUUGGGAGGCUGAGGUAGGAGGAUUGCUUGAGCCUAGGAGAUUGAGGGUAAAUUGAACAGUGAUCAUGCCACCACACUGCAGCCUGGGUGACAGAAUGAGACCCUAUCUCAAAAAAAAAAAAGAAACAAAAAACAGUAGUCUCAGAGGUCUAUAGCUGAUUAUAAUCCUAUAAAAGGAUCAAAGUAAAACAAUAAUUGUUGAUGGCAAAAGUAUUAGAAUAGCAAGGGUUAAAGAUGCAAUGGACAAGGAAAUUUGGUUAUAGCUAUGGCGUACAACAAUUUAAUAUAAUGAUCAUAAUUAGUUCUGAUAACAUACACUAACAUUUCAGAAUCACAGGAAUCUCAUACGAUUUUGUAAUACAUACUAAUAAGACAUUCAUAUAAAUACAAUCUAAAGAAAGUUAAAUAUCAUUUCAUAUUUGAUAAUGCAUCUUAUGUGAUCUUAUUAUGCCAAAUAAGCCAAAUAUAUCUCUUUGGAUUUCAGGGGACUUAAUGUCAAAAAAAUUAAUGAGGUAAAAAAGACCGAAUUUAGAAUUGGAUUUUAGAAAGUUUGUCAAAUACUUAAAACAAGGUCAAUGUUUAAAACACUUGAUAUCACAAAAUAGAAUCACAGGUCAUUGUAAAAUAAGUCAGUCAUUUAGUCAAAGUGGUAACUCAAAUAUUUCAAAAACAAAAAGGCAAAACCUUUUACUCUUUGAGACUUACUUUCCCAAAAAAUAAGACCUAAUGAAGAUAGAAUGAAGCCAAUUAAAUCUAUUUCUCAAAUCUUAUAGACAAGUGUAUUAAAUUUUAAUCAUCUUGACCAGAAGCAAUAAUUUUAUAAACCUUUCAUAACGUUUUAUAAUGUUUAAAAAAAGAAUGGGUUAAUACCUCAAGAAAACAUUGCUAAUCUGACACAGGGGCCCACAGGCUGGUCUUGCAUCAGUGUUCCUUUUAUAUUAAUCUUUAUAGGCUGGCCAUUGUGGCUCACAUCUGUAAUCUCAGUACUUUGAGAGGCAUAGGUGGGUGGAUUCCUUGAUCUCAGGAGUUUGAGACUAGCCUUGGCAAUGUGAUGAAACACUGUCUCUACAAAAAAUACAAAAAUUAGCCAGGCAUGGUGGUACACACCUGCAGUCCCAGCUACUCAGGAGGCUGAGGUGGCAGGAUCGCUUGUGUCUGGGAGAUGGAGGUUGCAGUGAGCCAGGAUCAUGCCACUGCAUUCCAACCCAGGUGACAGAGCUAGUUCCUGUCAAAACAAAACAAAACAAAACAAAACAAAACAAAACCACUGUUUAUAGAGAAAUACUGAACUAACUUUCUCUCUUAAAGUAGGUCCUUACAAGUCCAAACACCCACUUCUUCUGCAAUAGUCCCUGGGACUAGGGGGUUGAAUAGUUUAAUUUUCUGGACACAGGUCUUGUGAAUGCAGCUUCUUCUGAUUUUCAUCUUCUCUUAGGUCUGAAGAUGAGGCUUCAGUUGCUGUUAAUGUUUAAGAUUUAGUAGGAGUUGGUGACCUUUUUCGACCCAGGAGUGAAAGCCCUGUAACUUGGUAACACAAAAACGUUAAAAGAAUUACAGAAAGUUAUGUAGAUAUAAUAACCUUUUUUAAUCUCAGUUUUUCUAAGCAAAUAAAAACCUAGUAAUAAUUACACAGGAAUUAUUUUGAUAAAAUGUACAGUAUGUUUUUACCUUUUUCCUAAAUAACCUUUGAAUUAGAUAAAACUAUUUUCCUUUUAAUAAUAACACUUUUUCUUUGGAAAAAUGUUUGCCUACAGUACUUUUGUAAAGUUGAGAAUGACCCAGACAUUUAAUGACUACCUAUUAUUUCAUAAAAUAUAACUCUAAGAUUUUUUUUUUUUGACGGAGUCUCAGUCUGCCUAGGCUGGAGGACGGUGGCACGAUCUGAGCUCACUGCAACCUCUGCCUCCGAGUUCAAGAGAUUCUCCUGCCUCAGCCUCCUGAGUAGCUGGGAUUGCAGGCAUGCAUCAUCACCGGCUAAUUUUUGUAUUUUUAGUAGAGAUGGGGUUUCACCACUUGGGCCAGGCUGGUCUCCAACUCCUGACCUCAAGUGAUCUGCCCAUGCUGGCCUCCCAAAGUGGUGGCUCACACAGUAAUAUCACAGUCUUCUGAAUUCAAAAUAGGCCGAGGCUGGAGCUCAGGCACCACCUCUGCGGAAUCUCAAGCAGGCUUCACAUAGCCAAGAAAAUGUUGCUCCAUCGCUUAAUUAAGCCUCAGAGCAGGAGGACAUAAGCGUUUGCGCUGAUUGACGAGAUGAAGCAGAACCUUUAGCACUACCAUCAGCCUGGGUAUUUAUGCUCUCCGGAGCUCGUGGGCAGAGGGCACCCAGAUAUUAUGAAACUCAAUAGUAACGAAUGCACGAAAAUUAGUAGACAAAUGAAAACCGGUAAAAUUCUAGAGAGCACAUAGAAACAAAACAAAUCGUAAUUCCGACAGAAAAACAGCGAGAAAAGAAGUCGAAAUGAAACGGAUACUAAGCAAACCUUACAGAGAACGAGCGCUACAAAACGCAGGGAUUAAAGAGUUCUUCAGGGGCCAAAAACCAUCUGUGUCCGGGAAAUGAGCAUUGCUGCCACCGGAAAACUGUCCGCUAGGUCUCUGCACUGCUCUGGACCUCGCUAGCAAGAAUCUGGCGGCGCUGAGACUCAGCAAGCGCCGGCACCUAGCGGAUAGCGCUGGUAUUGCCAAACAAAUAUCCGUUUAGGCGCCAUAACGGUGCUGCUAGAAAGAAACUGCGGAUUCUUAGGAGGGGUGCUUCCAUCCCGAAACAUACUGUCUGGAGGAAUGGACCGACUCUGUUUAAAUGAAAAGAGCCGGCUAACGGUAUUACGGAAGUACUAGUUGGCACAGAGGCUCGGUGCAAUUACCGUUCUGCACCGUAAAACGGGUUUAGGAAGUUCCUAGGAGAUACUAGCGGUGCCAGAACCGAGAAAGUGACGACACAGACAACUUAUGGACUCCGCGUACGGGAAACGUUCCGUUGGGCGCUAAGAACGGUGCAGCAACUGAAAAACCGCUCAGUGGGCGCUACUGGCAAAAGCGUUGCUGCAAAACCGCCAGCUCCGCAUUAGAAGCAGAGCCGCCAGACAGAACCCGGGACCUGAAACCACCGAAGCGGAGACCGAGCUUGGCUCCCCAGCUCCUGAGAGAAUGCAAGUCAAGGAGUACGAAGCUGUGAUACUCAAAAUUAGUAGAAGAAAAAUGAAUAACAUUUAAAUAAGAUAAAAUUUUAAAAUAAUAAAUUCUAAAAUUCAAAUAAAAAGGCAAAGCAAACACACUGGAAACUACCGGUAGCAUUGUUCUCAGAGCAAAAGACACAAAAAGAGCAUUUAAAAAUAAGCAAAAAUUAGAGAGAACCAACCCUACAAAGCAGAAAUUACAAGUAUUGCCAAAAGAAGCAAUUCUGUGAUUAGGAUAUCCCUGUUAGAUCUAAACCGGUACAUGUUACACCUAAGUCUACAUUUCUUAGGACAAAAACAAAAACAAACAACAACAACAACAAGAAACCAACAAAACCCAGUCAUGGUUAAACCUGUUUACGACUAAAAAAUCGUAGUAGCUGAUAUAUCCCGACUUGGUCCACAAGAGGAAAAAGUCGCGUUCGGCGGAAAUUGCUAUCGUCAAACCGAGCUUCGUAAACCAGAAAUCGCUUUUGCCGGCAUUUCCUGACUUCCAUGGGAGUUUAAAAAACACCAACAUAGCUAAGGCGGGACUUGAUGUUGCGCAGCUAGCCUUGGUGUAAGAGCUCCCAGGCACUGCUAAACUGGUCAUCGCUAAACCUAAAUGAAUCGCAUUCGCUGGUACACAGAUUUCUACAGGAGUUGAACAUCUCCUGCGCAGCUAAAGCAAGCCGUACUAGUAGGAAGCCGGAACUUGCCACGACUUAGAAACUUGAGGCUUUGGGAGGCCAAGGCGGGUGGAUCAUCUGAGGUCGGGAGUUUGAGACCAGUCUGGCUAAUGUGGCAAAACCCCGUCUCUACUAAAAAUACAAAAAUUAGCCGGGUGUGGUGGCGGGCGCCUAUAAUCCCAGCUAUUUGGGAGGCUGAGGCAGGAGAAUCACUUGAACCCGGGAGGUGGAGGUUGCAGUGAGCCGAGAUCGCCGAGAUGGCGCCACUGCAUUCUAGCCUGGACGAAAGAAACUCUGUCUCAAAAAAAAAAAAAAAAAAAAAAAAAAAAAGAAAAAGAAAAAAGAAACUUGAGGCAGGGCUAACUCUGCGUUUGUUAUGAUUAGGCUACAGGAAACCCGGAGUUGCUGGGAAAUGAGUCACAGGGUCACUCAGCCUUUCUGUGGCGAAACAUCGACUUCCUACGACCUAGAAAUCGCCGCCAGGGCUAGGCUGGUGUUUGUCCUAAGUGGGUACUUGCUUGGGUUGAGAAAUCACAUUUUGGCUAUUCCCCGACUUGAACCAGGGGAUAGAAAUCGUAGUCACCGGCUGGGCGCAGCGGCUCAUGCUGUAAUCCUGGCAGUUUGGGAGGCCGAGGCGGGCAGAUUAUUGAGGUUAGGAGUUCGAGACCAGCCUGGUCAAUAUGAUGAAACACCGCCUCUAGUAAAAAUACAAAAAUUAUCCGGGCGUGGUGGCGAGCGCCUGUAAUCCCAGCUACUCAGGAGGCUGAGGCAGUAGAAUCCCUUGAACCUGGGGUGCGGAGGUUGCAGUGAGCCAAGAUCGCGCCACUGCACUCCAGGCUGGGCGACACGGCGAGACUCUGUCUCAAAACAAAACAAAAGGAAAAGAAGAGAAAAGAAAAAGAAACGCAGGCACCCUGAAAUCGAAACUUGUUAGGACCAACAAGCCAACGACAGACGAAUCUGCGGGGUCCUGCGACAGACACGCCAGCCCCGCCGCCACAGCACAGGGUUCUGGAGGUCGAGCUGUUCUGCGGGUUCUGCGGCGGCGCUGGGAAGAGACGGCGCCCGGGCAGCUCCCCUGUCACCGGCUUGGAGGAGCGGCGGGCUCCCCUAGCCCAGCGCCGCCGCCGCCGCCCGGGAACGCCAGGCUCACCCCAGCUGGGGAAGCUCCGAAUCCCUCAGAUCGGCGACCUGAGUGCUGUCGCCCCGAGAAAAUGGAGGCAUCGAGCAACGAGCUGUGCUGAGACCGAGAGACCUCAGUUCUGCGAAAUGUCGGUGCCUGGAGCUUGCGAAUGACUGCGGCCGGCGGGUUGUCAAGGACAACAUUCCUUAUGGCGCAACCAACAGCGCUGUCACCAAGAAACUGGACUCUGAGAAAAAAGAGGGUUUCGGCCACCGAGAAACUCCGUGCCACAUGUGCCGUGACAGCAAAACCGCCCGCUCCGCGCCGCUGGUGAAAGAGCUAACGAACGCCAGGUGCUGCGACAGUGACACCGGGACUAGAAGGCCUCGGAUGGAGAAUGGGACGCCCAGAGCAAGCAGGAAAACGUUUUGUUUGGCUCAACUAGCGCUGUCGCAACCGGAAAACUGUCAGGCCAGUGCUGCUGCGGAUGUGAGAAACCGGUGAUCCGAAGGCGGAGUGGCGCUGGGCGCUGGACUCGCUGGUGUGAAAAUCUGGCUGCUCUAGGACCCGGCAAGCGCGGGCACCAGGCGAACGCCAGCGACUUUGCCAGACAAAUGCAUGUCUUUUUUGGUCGCCAUUCAAAGAUGCAGCCGGCAGUCAGCCCCGGCUCUGAGAAACAAGUGGAGGUGUCAGCCAUAAACCCUCCGUUCAGGGAAAAGAGAGUCGCUGCGACGGAUCGACUGGCCGUUGGGUGGAACUUUCUUUGGUGGCCUAGUGACUAGAAAAUAAAAACGAAAACGAAAUAAAAAACUGCUACUGACAUUACUCCCACGCUCCCUCCUCAAGUCAGUGGCUUCAGGCUUAAGAAAACCUGUAUUUUUCUUGGCUGAUCCGUGAUCCCUAAUUACUGAGGGCCCCGCGACCCACCAAGUGCGAUUCGCAGAGGGAAAGGAGCUGGAAUAAGGAUCCAGAAUGGGACGGAUUUGGCUCCUCCAGGAAGAAAGCAAAACAAAUGCAGGUCGCGAACACUUUACAUUGCAGGAAGCUGCUCUUCCAGUGGCCGCGGCUGGGUCCUUCCACACCACCUCUCUGUCCUAGGCCUUCGUCCCGGUUCAGCCCUCACGGAUUCUAGGCUAGCGGUCAACAACCGCAUCCCUCCGGAACCUGGAAACUCUAGGUCCGAGAUCUCGGUGAAGAAUGAAAGGCACAGCGCCGCUCAACCCAGGCUUCAGGCCUGCCCCGCUGGUCCCGUCCCUUCCCUGUGGGAUGGAACUCUGUGGGAAUCGCUCCUUAUUCUGAUGGUUCACUCAUUCAGAUGUCCUUGAUAUUUGGGGAUAUUUCUAAAACAGCUGGGGAGAAAAAUGGACUGCGAGGCUCCGGUGUUGGACGUGAAAUUGGCAGUGAGACAUCCGCCUCUAAGCCCAGGGAAAAGCUUAAAUUGUGGUUCUCUGUCUCUAGCACCGUGAUCUUUGAAAUGCGUUAUUGAUUUUCUUCUUUCUUCUGGGAAAUGCAAUGCAGGUGAACUUGUAAGUGUUGAAUCCUCCCUCUCCUCACUGUUCAAUCAGACUGAGGCCUACUUCCUUUCUGAUAAGAAAUAUGGAACUGCCAUUGCUCAGUAGGAAAAUGUCCUUUCUACAAGCAUUCAUAUUUCAAUAAAAAUCUGCACUUUGUGAGUUGAGCCCCCUCAAAGAGACCUACAGACCCUGCCAUGAGCAUCUCCAUCCACACUCAUCAUUUCCCAUUUUCACCACUUCUGCUCCUGUGCAAACCAGUACUAUCCUUUUCUGGGGGAUCCUAGGCAGAAGCGAUGGCAGGACAAAGGCAGAGAAGGCACUGCCAGGUCCUGCAUGCCAGUAAAACUACUCAUGUCAGCUGUUCUGCAGGAUCCCAUGAGAAGCCUCUCACCCUCCACAAUCCCCUUAAAAACUGUAGCCCAGAACUCUCUGGAAUGAUGAAUUUGAAGGUUUGCUCCUGUCUCCUCACUCAGAAGCCUGUAAUCAUUAAACUCUUUCUCUGAUGCAAACUCUGCUGUCUCAGUGUAAUUGGUAUGUAAGUGUGCAGCAGGCAUAUGAAUCUGUUGGUCCUGUAACAGUUGGGAUGCAGUGGCACAAUUGUAGCUCACUGUAAUCUCUACCUCCUACACCUAAGGGAACCUUACCACCUCAGCACUCGGAAUAGCUAGGACUUUAGGUCUGUGUGCUACCACCCAUGGCUAAUUUAUAAAAUAAUUUCUUUGUAGAGACAGGAUCUUUCUAUAUAGCCUGGGCUGGUCUCAAACUCCUGGCCUCAAGGUAUCCUCCCCACUCUGCAUCACAAAGAGCUGUCAUUACAUGUGUGAGAUACCAUACCCUGCCCAUGGUAGAAUAUUAACACAUGGGUGUGAAAUGUUGGCUUCAGUCUGGCAUGUUAUUACUUUAUUAACAGUAAAGAAUAAUAUCUGAUCAUGAAAUUGUUUUUUUUUGUAAAUAGAAUAUUUUCUAUUUACAUUGAUGCUUUUGUAAAUAGAAUAUUUGACUCUGAUGAAGACAUAUUAUAAUUUCACUAUGGAUAUGACCUGAAAUGGAAAAAAUUGACUUACAGAAAAAAUACACCAAAGAAGUCACCAUUUUAUAUUUGUUCUUAUUACAAUUAUCUUUCAAGCCAUAAAAAACAAAAAUUAGUGAUUUUAUUACCAACUGAGAAGAUUAUUUUCUGCCAAGCAAUCUCUAAACAUUAACUUUUACUAGGAAUGUAUUCAUGAAAGGGACUUUGUAAAAUAGGAGCAAAUUUGACCUCUUAUUUAAUCAUUCAGAGAUGAAAUAAAAUAUAAUACAUUAUUUGAAAAGAUAUCCAGGAAGCAGGAAGUACAGUCAGGGAUCCCAGGAAUGGGUGUGGUGAUGUCUGUUGCACCAGGGCUUAGAGGGCAGGAUCUUUCCUCUAGAAACUCUGUGUGUCAGGCAUGCCUAGACAAAAUACACUUAUAUUUGAUGUUUUAGCAUAUCAAAGAGGUAUUGCUUGGUUUAAAGAUGAGGCUCAGUGAGUUUACACCACAGUCCAAGAUCACAAAGGUAGUUCAUGCUGGAGCUGGAUUGAAGUCCCAGGUUAUCAGGCAUUCAUAUCAAGUAGGGAAAUGAGUAAAGAAAUAAUUAGGUUGGGUUUUGAAAAAGAAGAAUCCUAUGCCUUACAUAAAAUUGUACCUUAAAAAUUUUUUUGGCUGGGCGUGGUGGCUCUUGCCUGUAAUCCCAGCACUUUGGGAGGCCGAGGCAGGCGGAUUACAAGGUCAGGAGAUCGAGACCAUCCUGGCUAACACGGUGAAACCCCGUCUCUACUAAAAAUACAAAAAAUUAUCCGGUGCGGUGGUGGGCGCCUGUAGUCCCAGCUACUCCGGAGGCUGAGGCAGGAGAAUGGCGUGAACCCGGGAGGCGGAGUUUGCAGCGAGCGGAGAUCGCGCCAUUGCACUCCAGCCUGGGCGACAGACCGAGACUCCAUCUCAAAAAACAUAAAAAUAAAAAAAAGGGCAAAUAUGUUGAGCUAAUAUGAUGCUUUUUACAGUAUUUUUUUUCAAGACCCUUAUAUGUUAUGUGAUUAUAUGCAUUUUUUUAAGUUAUUCUCCUUCCUCUGUUAUUCCUACUUCCACUGCAAUUCCUCUCAUCAGUAACUACCAGUUUUAACAUUACAUUAUCCAAAAAAGAGGUGGAUGGAGUCUCGGCUGCAUAUGCUAAUGUUGCACCUUGGACGAGUGAUGUAAUGCCUUUUGCCAUUUUGCAUUUCCAAAUAUAUUCUCAAAUGUAUUCCUAACAGUGGUGUUUGCUACACAAUGAAAUAAUAGAAAUAAAAUAUAAUACAUUAUUUGAAAAGAUAUCCAGGAAUUAUUUUAACAUUUUUCCUUUAAAUUAAUUUCUGAAUGGAAAUGACAGUCAUGAAACCAUUCCUAUAAACUUUAUAAAGUUAAUCAGGGAAAAUGGGAGAAGGAGAAUAAAAAAUAUAUCAAGACUGCAGUACAUUCAGCAUUAAUGAUUAGGUCACCUUGCUCUCUGGCCUUCUUGCUCAUAGUUCUUUGGUGCUUAUUGCCCCAAACUAUGAGAAUAAUUAUGCAGAAUAAUUAUACCCUGUCAGAAUUAUGCAGACCCAAUCACAAGAUUAUAGUUUCCCUUAACUGCUCUGUAGAGAACACCUUUAACAUUGUAAAAUGUCAAGGUUUUCAUUUGAUAUAUUCUCUUAUGUCCUGAAGACUGAUAAAACUAUUGAUGCCAGCUAGUCUGAAAGACCCCAUGAGGAGCUGGCUCACCGAAGAAUGCAGUUUCUAUAUUUUGAUGAUUUCAUCCCCUUUACCCCAAACAAUCAAUGACCCCAAUUUUUCAGUUUCUUGCUCUCCACAAUCUCCUUAAAAACUCCAGAGCUGGGCGGGGCACGGUGGCUCACUCCUGUAAUCCCAGGACUUUGGGAGGCUGAGGUGGGCAGAUCACCAGGUCAGGAGUACGAGACCACUGAAACCCCAUCUCUACUAAAAAUACAAAAAUUAGUCGGGUGUGGUGGUGCACACAUGUAAUCCUAGCUAUUCAGGAGGCUGAAGCAGGAGAAGGCUAAGGCAGGAGAAUCGCCUGAACCCGGGAGGCAGAGGUUGCAGUGGGCUGAGAUCACACCACUGCACUCCAGCCUGGGUGAUGGAGCAAGAUUCUGUUAAAAACAAAACAAAACAAAACAAAAACAAACACCUCCAGACCAGAAUUUCUCAGGGAGGUGGAUUUGAGGGUCCCUCCUGUUUCCUCACCUGGCUGCCCUGCUAUCAUUACAUUCUUUUUCUGCUGUAAGCCCUGCUGUUUCAGUGUUUUGGUAUAUAUUUAUGUUACUGCACAGCAGAUAUCCAAACCUGUUGGUCCUGUAACGAUCAGGCACAUCUUUUGUAUUGGUUUGUCUUGUGUUUUUUUUUUUUUUUUUUUUUUUCCAG